This 492-nucleotide ribosomal RNA is filed under the name uncultured bacterium. RNAcentral's name for it is "partial 16S ribosomal RNA". It matches the Rfam family "Bacterial small subunit ribosomal RNA", at positions 29 to 507 of the family's 1533-position model. The record is from RNAcentral.
AGUGAACGCUGGCGGUAGGCCUAACACAUGCAAGUCGAACGGCAGCACAGUAAGAGCUUGCUCUUACGGGUGGCGAGUGGCGGGCGGGUGAGGAAUACAUCGGAAUCUACUUUUUCGUGGGGGAUAACGUAGGGAAACUUACGCUAAUACCGCAUACGACCUACGGGUGAAAGCAGGGGAUCUUCGGACCUUGCGCGAUUGAAUGAGCCGAUGUCGGAUUAGCUAGUUGGCGGGGUAAAGGCCCACCAAGGCGACGAUCCGUAGCUGGUCUGGGAGGAUGAUCAGCCACACUGGAACUGAGACACGGUCCAGACUCCUACGGGAGGAAGCAGUGGGGAAUAUUGGACAAUGGGCGCAAGCCUGAUCCAGCCAUACCGCGUGGGUGAAGAAGGCCUUCGGGUUGUAAAGCCCUUUUGUUGGGAAAGAAAAGCAGCAGGUUAAUACCCCGCUGUUCUGACGGUACCCAAAGAAUAAGCACCGGCUAACUUCGUG